RNAcentral lists this ribosomal RNA (449 nucleotides) under uncultured bacterium. RNAcentral's name for it is "partial 16S ribosomal RNA". It matches the Rfam family "Bacterial small subunit ribosomal RNA", at positions 328 to 793 of the family's 1533-position model. The record is from RNAcentral.
CUACCAGACUCCUACGGGAGGCAGCAGUGGGGGAUAUUGCACAAUGGGGGGAACCCUGAUGCAGCGACGCCGCGUGGGUGAAGGAGUAUUUCGGUAUGUAAAGCCCUGUCAGCAGGGAAGAACAAAGACAGUACCUGACCAAGAAGCCCCGGCUAACUACGUGCCAGCAGCCGCGGUAAUACGUAGGGGGCAAGCGUUAUCCGGAUUCACUGGGCGUAAAGGGAGCGCAGGCGGCACGGCAAGUCUGGUGUGAAAGCCCGGGGCCCAACCCCGGGACUGCAUUGGAAACUGCCGGGCUGGAGUGCCGGAGGGGUAAGCGGAAUUCCUGGUGUAGCGGUGAAAUGCGCAGAUAUCAGGAAGAACACCGGUGGCGUAGGCGGCUUACUGGACGGCAACUGACGCUGAGGCUCGAAAGCGUGGGGAGCAAACAGGAUUAGAUACCCCCGUAC